RNAcentral lists this signal recognition particle RNA (102 nucleotides) under Saccharomonospora azurea NA-128. RNAcentral's name for it is "Bacterial signal recognition particle RNA". It matches the Rfam family "Bacterial small signal recognition particle RNA". From Rfam's summary of the family: The signal recognition particle (SRP) is a universally conserved ribonucleoprotein involved in the co-translational targeting of proteins to membranes. The record is from RNAcentral. Lineage: Bacteria; Bacillati; Actinomycetota; Actinomycetes; Pseudonocardiales; Pseudonocardiaceae.
GACGGUGGACCCCCGCGGCGUCCACCCUGUGAACCUCCCCAGGGCCGGAAGGCAGCAAGGAUAAGCAGGCUCUGACGGGUGCGGGGGUCCCCUUUUUCGCCA